GGGGAUGACAUGGUUUCGACGUGUAUGGUGAAGCCAUGGCCGCGUGCCGAGGUUCCAGAUACCUCGUUAAGCCUCUGGAAAACUAGUAACCGCGAACGACAACUUCGCUCUGGCUGCGUAAGUAGAAUCCCUUCGGGGAAUCCUUACCUCCCGUUCGUUGAUCAGCCCUGCCUGAGGCGGGUCAACGGGCGUCGCUAAAUUCGGGCUGGCCUGGAGGUGGCGUCGUGACGCCCCGGGCGAGACUCUCACGACUGGUUCGCGAUGGGCCUUCUGCCGGCCGAUGAGCGGACGAGGAGAAAAGAACGGCGGAAUACGCACGUAGACGCUGUGGGGGAUCUGUAGGCGGACAGGGGUUCGACUCCCCUCAUCUCCACUU
RNAcentral lists this transfer-messenger RNA (376 nucleotides) under Longimicrobiaceae. RNAcentral describes it as "JAFAYN01 sp019240375 Standard tmRNA". It matches the Rfam family "transfer-messenger RNA". Rfam says of the family: Bacterial tmRNA, also known as 10Sa RNA or SsrA, is named for its dual tRNA and mRNA-like properties. Its role is to liberate the mRNA from a stalled ribosome. Lineage: Bacteria; Pseudomonadati; Gemmatimonadota; Longimicrobiia; Longimicrobiales. RNAcentral also lists the same sequence under 1 other name. The record is from RNAcentral.